UUUCCGUAGGUGAACCUGCGGAAGGAUCAUUAACGAGUAGGGGUCAUUCUAGCCCGACCUCAAACCCUUUGUUUAAUUACCAUGUUGCUUUGGCGUGCCCGUUUCACGACCGCCCGAAGACCUCGGACUUCUCCCCCGUGCCCGCCAAUAGUCUUCUACAAACUAUUGAUCCAUUGUGAUGUCUGAGUAAUAAAUUUAAUAGUUAAAACUUUCAACAACGGAUCUCUUGGUUCUG
Molecule: unclassified non-coding RNA, 235 nt
Filed under: plant metagenome
Description: partial contains small subunit ribosomal RNA, internal transcribed spacer 1, and 5.8S ribosomal RNA
Source: RNAcentral